CUCAAACGCUCCUUUAUAAUUAUUAAGCCCUGAACAGGUGCUUCUUAAAGGAGCACUAAGUGCAUAUUUUGUACGCUAUAUAGUUUUACAGUGCUGUUUAGGUUCCCAGCACUCCACCUCCACAUGCCUGUCUAGUACAUGAAUAUGGCAGCUGCUGAUUGCUGGACACUGAGUUGGGGAUAAUGUUGCAUUUAGGACUGGCAAGCUCCCUUUUGAUACAGGUCUCAGGAGCCUGUGUG
Molecule: non-coding RNA, 239 nt
Organism: Pelobates cultripes (western spadefoot toad)
Lineage: Eukaryota; Metazoa; Chordata; Amphibia; Anura; Pelobatidae
Source: the annotation of a GenBank genome assembly